RNAcentral lists this transfer RNA (77 nucleotides) under Bdellovibrio sp. RNAcentral's name for it is "tRNA-Pro". It matches the Rfam family "tRNA". From Rfam's summary of the family: Transfer RNA (tRNA) molecules are approximately 80 nucleotides in length. Their secondary structure includes four short double-helical elements and three loops (D, anti-codon, and T loops). Further hydrogen bonds mediate the characteristic L-shaped molecular structure. tRNAs have two regions of fundamental functional importance: the anti-codon, which is responsible for specific mRNA codon recognition, and the 3' end, to which the tRNAs corresponding amino acid is attached (by aminoacyl-tRNA synthetases). tRNAs cope with the degeneracy of the genetic code in two manners: having more than one tRNA (with a specific anti-codon) for a particular amino acid; and 'wobble' base-pairing, i.e. permitting non-standard base-pairing at the 3rd anti-codon position. Lineage: Bacteria; Pseudomonadati; Bdellovibrionota; Bdellovibrionia; Bdellovibrionales; Pseudobdellovibrionaceae. RNAcentral also lists the same sequence under 7 other names. The record is from RNAcentral.
CGGGGAGUAGCGCAGUCUGGUAGCGCAUCUGCUUUGGGAGCAGAGGGUCGCAGGUUCAAAUCCUGUCUCCCCGACCA